AUUGAACGCUGGCGGCAUGCCUUACACAUGCAAGUCGAGCGGCAGCGCGGGGGCAACCCUGGCGGCGAGCGGCGAACGGGUGAGUAAUGCAUCGGAACGUAUCCCGGAGUGGGGGAUAACCUAUCGAAAGGUGGGCUAAUACCGCAUGAGCUCUGAGGAGGAAAGCGGGGGACCGAAAGGCCUCGCGCUGUGGGAGCGGCCGAUGUCCGAUUAGCUAGUUGGUGGGGUAAAGGCCUACCAAGGCGACGAUCGGUAGCUGGUCUGAGAGGAUGAUCAGCCACACUGGGACUGAGACACGGCCCAGACUCCUACGGGAGGCAGCAGUGGGGAAUUUUGGACAAUGGGGGCAACCCUGAUCCAGCCAUGCCGCGUGAGUGAAGAAGGC
This 385-nucleotide ribosomal RNA is filed under the name uncultured bacterium. RNAcentral describes it as "bacterial SSU rRNA". It matches the Rfam family "Bacterial small subunit ribosomal RNA", at positions 29 to 415 of the family's 1533-position model. The record is from RNAcentral.